UCGUCCACAGUAGGACAAUUUCUCUUAAGAUGCUUAGAAUUUUUUAGGUUUGUCUUUGGAAAGAAAAGGCCUGGGAGUUUAAAGACAUACAAGACAGCGGUCCUGAAAGAGAGAGUGAAGAGAGACAGAGGGGGUACCUGCUAUAGCCAGUCACCUUGCCUGAUGUGAUCAUUAACCUUUUUGACAAAUACAGAAAAAAGGGCAGUUCACUCAUGAGACUCGAGUCUUUGCUUUGAACUGUGGUACAGGAGCUUUGGCAGCUGAGACACAGUAGGGGAAUUUCUGUAUCUAUUGGACCUCACUGAAGAAACCUGCUGCGCAUCGACCUGACCAAAAUGAGAUUACAGAACCUGUUGUACAUAUUUUUUCUUGUAGUGAUGAGUCUUUUGUUAAUCAGUGGACAACGACCAGAACAUUUCAAUCUAAGACGCAAAUAUCACAGGCACCAUUGUCCACACAGAAGAUGUAUGCCUCUUCAUGCAAGAGUUCCCUUCCCUUAAGAGUAACUGUAGUUUUCUUCAUGGUACACACAGCUGUGGGAUUUGGAUAUUGGCACGUUCCAGGCUUUCUAAAUUCACUUUGCUCUCCCUGUUUCAUAAACAAUACAUUAAAUACUUUCACUAACUCCAAGGCAACUUGUGGAAAUAGACCAUGAAAGCUUACUGUUGGAUUCCACAACUAAUUAACAGCUACAAACUGUCCAGCAAAAAGGAAAAUGGAAAAACUGAAGCCAAAAGAUGGUGACUGGUCAUGGUGGCAGCUUUUUGUGUCCUAAAAAACCUUUUUCCUGAAAGUUCCUCUUCGGAUGCAGUCCACCAAAGAAGGAAUUUCAAGACUCAAGGCCACCACCUGUUGGAACACAACUGUUGUGAACCUCAGAAUUUUAAGAGAAAAAAGAAAAAAAGAGAAGAGAGUUUGGCACUUGGCCAUGCCAAAAAGAAAGUAUUUUUCUGUGCUUCAAAGGAUUUUAACAGUAGGAUAAGUGUUUCUGGUUUGCUUGUGAAGGUAUUAUUUAUGAUAUGUAACUAUUCAGAAUAAUACAUACUGGCAAUCAUGUUAUUUUCCUAUUACAAAGAUUUUAAGCAUGCAGGUUUAGGUUACUACAGAUGCACUGACAGUCUCUUUGCCUGUCUCUUUAAGCUCCCUAUGUACAGUAGACAUAAAUUGUUGAUACUCUGGAUGAUUUCACGAGAUAACACCUUAAUACAUUAUUGAAAACAAUCUAGAAUGGAUACAGACACAUUAAGUACAUAUUACACUUCAUUAAUUCACAGCAACUAAAGAUAAAAUAUUUUAAAAUAA
Lepisosteus oculatus (spotted gar) is the source of this 1302-nucleotide non-coding RNA. Lineage: Eukaryota; Metazoa; Chordata; Actinopteri; Semionotiformes; Lepisosteidae. The record is from RefSeq and is a predicted model, not a curated record.